AAGUUACGAAGGGCGCACGGGGGAUGCCUGUGGCUCUCGGAGGCGACGAAGGACGUGACAAGCUGCGAAAAGCGCCGGCGAGGGGCAAAUGCCCUGUGACCCGGCGAUGUCCGAAUGGGGAAACCCGUGGGGAGCGAUCCCCACACCGGCGAUGAGUCGGGGCGAACGCGGGGAACUGAAACAUCUUAGUACCCGCAGGAAGAGAAAGUAACAACGAUUGCGCAAGUAGUGGCGAGCGAACGCGCAGGAGCCCAAACCGGUGCGGUCAUUCUGGCCGGGACCGGGGUUGUAGGACCGGCGCCAGUACCGACGCGCGAGCCGUAGCCGAACCCGCUGGAAAGCGGGGCCGCAGCGGGUGAGAGCCCCUUAGGCGAAACGUCGCGCGCGAGGUCAGCCGGCACCUGAGUACCGCGGAGCACGAGGAAUUCUGCGGGAAUCGGCGGGGCCCAUCCCGCAAGGCUAAAUACUACCGAGAGACCGAUAGCGCACAAGUACCGUGAGGGAAAGGUGAAAAGAACCUCGAGCAGAGGAGUGAAACAGAUCCUGAAACCGUGCGCCUACAAGCUGUGGGAGCCCCUUCGUGGGGUGACCGCGUGCCUUUUGCAUAAUGAACCUACGAGUUGCCGUCGCCGGCGAGGUUAAGGGCCAUCAGGCCCGCAGCCGAAGCGAAAGCGAGUCCGAACAGGGCGUUUGUGAAGUCGGCGGAGGCAGACGCGAAACCAAGUGAUCUACGCAUGUCCAGGAUGAAGGACGGGUGACUCCGUCUGGAGGUCCGCACCGGUAAGCGUUGAAAAGCUUACGGAUGAGGUGUGCGUAGGAGUGAAAGGCCAAUCAAACUUGGAGAUAGCUCGUACUCCCCGAAAUGUAUUUAGGUGCAGCCUCCGGUUUGAGACCGGCGUGAGGUAGAGCGACCGAUAGGAUGCGAGGGCUUCACCGCCUAUCAAGUCCUGCCGAACUCCGAAUGCCGCCGGCCGCUACCGGGGAGUAAGGGCGCGGGUGCUAACGUCCGUGUCCGAGAGAGGAACAACUCAGACCACCGGCUAAGGUCCCGGAAUCCGGGCUAAGUUGGAGACAAUAACGAAGUGUGACCGCAGAGACAGCCGGGAUGUUGGCUUGGAAGCAGCCAUUCAUCCAAGGAGUGCGUAACAGCUCACCGGUCGAGCGGUCGCGCGUGGAUAAUAAUCGGGCAUGAAGCCCGGUACCGAAGCCGUGGAACUGUCCCCUUGAGGGGCGGUUGGUAGGGGAGCAUUGCAGCGGCGCCGAAGGCGUGCCUUGAGGCAUGCUGGAGCCGCUGGAAAAGCAAAUGUAGGUAUAAGUAACGAUAAAGGGUGCGAGAAACACCCUCGCCGUAAGACCAAGGUUUCCUGAUCCACGCUAAUCGGAUCAGGGUCAGUCGGGCCCUAAGGCUAAGCCGCGAGGCGAGGCCGAUGGCCGAGGCGGUCAACAUUCCGCCACCGGGCACGGCUGCGACGGGGAGACGGAGAAGUGAAACGCCCGCGCGCUGACGGAAUAGCGCGUUGAAGGGGGGUAGGCGUGGAGGGACCCAGGCAAAUCCGGGUUCCGAGCCGAGCCCCGACAGUACGGCGAGCCCAUUGCGGCGAGCCGAUAGCGGCGGUAAUCAUGCUCCCGAGAAAAUCCUCUAAGCGUCAGGCCGCGUCCGCCCGUACCGUAAACCGACACAGGUGGUCGGGUAGAGUAUACCAAGGCGCUCGAGAGACUCAUGGUUAAGGAAUUAGGCAAACUGACCCCGUAACUUCGGGAGAAGGGGUCCUCCGCCGGUAGGCGGAGGCGCAGAGAAUAGGUCCAGGCAACUGUUUAUCAAAAACACAGGGCUGUGCGAAAUUGAAAGAUGAGGUAUACAGCCUGACACCUGCCCGGUGCCGGAAGGUUAAGAGGAGGGCUCAGCCCGCUUGGGUGAAGGUCUGAAUUGAAGCCCCGGUAAACGGCGGCCGUAACUAUAACGGUCCUAAGGUAGCGAAAUUCCUUGUCGGGUAAGUUCCGACCUGCACGAAUUAGUAUCGGUGAAGAUGCCGAUUACCCGCAACGGGACGAAAAGACCCCGUGAACCUUUACUACAGCUUAGCAUUGUGACCGGGUGCGUGAUGUGUAGGAUAGUCAGGAGGCUGCGAGACGGUGGCGCCAGUCGCCGUGGAGCCGUUGUUGAAAUACUGACCUUUGCGCAUCUGGUUCCUAACCCGCUUAUGAGUGGGGACAUUGCUUGGCGGGUAGUUUGACUGGGGUGGUCGCCUCCAAAACAGUAACGGAGGCUUCUAAAGGUCCGCUCAGGCCGAUUGGUAACCGGCCGCAGAGUGUAAUGGCACAAGCGGGCUUGACUGGGAGACAGACAGGUCGUCCAGGUAGGAAACUAGAGCAUAGUGAUCCGGUGGUUCCGAAUGGAAGGGCCAUCGCUCAAAGGAUAAAAGGUACUCCGGGGAUAACAGGCUGAUCCCUCCCAAGAGCUCAUAUCGACGGAGUGGUUUGGCACCUCGAUGCCG
RNAcentral lists this ribosomal RNA (2495 nucleotides) under bovine gut metagenome. RNAcentral's name for it is "Bacterial large subunit ribosomal RNA". It matches the Rfam family "Bacterial large subunit ribosomal RNA", at positions 5 to 2534 of the family's 2925-position model. The record is from RNAcentral.